RNAcentral lists this long non-coding RNA (1038 nucleotides) under Anser brachyrhynchus (Pink-footed goose). RNAcentral describes it as "lncRNA (ENSABRG00000022991.1)". The record is from RNAcentral. Lineage: Eukaryota; Metazoa; Chordata; Aves; Anseriformes; Anatidae.
AUGGGGUCGUUACGCCCCCAGCCCGGUGCCUGGUGCUGCGGGAAAUGCCCCCCUUGGGUCGGGCACGCGGGCGCCGUGUGCCUGGGCUUCUCUGUUCCUCGCUCGCUUGGCACUUCGUUACCGCUUGAUGAGAUCUUUCCAUUCUUGGCAACCUCUCGGGCCCGAGCAGGGUUUCGCGUGCCGCGCGGGGCCGCUGGCGGAGGGCCCGGCGUGGGGCCGGGCUGCUCGGUCCCUGCCCUUCGCUGCAGGGCUGCCCUGUACGGCGCUGCCCUCCGCUUCCCCUGCUCUGCCGGGGGGAAGGUGGCGGGGGCAGGAGAGGCCUUUUGGGGUCAGGAUGUGCUUGCAAGACCCGGUGAGGGGUGCUGGGGACGGCAGGGGUGCUGCCGAUGCCUCCUUCGGCCUCCGUUUCGGUUACUGGGCCUCUGCAGCGCCCGCCCGGCCUCCCCGCACCGCCCUCCCCGGCCGUGCCCCGUGGUGCCUCUGCAGGAUGGAUGCUGCAAGUGCUCACAGCGCCUGGGUCUGAAAAAAAUGGGAUUUGAAGGAGAAAAACGAGUCCCCGGGGAUGAGGCCCGAGCCGACUCCCUCCCGUGGCACGCCCGGCCUCGGCACCCCCUCGGGAACGGCCGCGCUGCCGGGUCGAGCGCCCAGCGUCUGCGUCCUGGCCUGGAAACUCCUCGAAGAGGAGCUCUGCGAGCUGCCCUACUUCUCCCCGCUCACGGCGUCAAAGCAAAGCCUUCGGCGCUCGGUCCCUGCCCCUGGCCACGCGCCGCGCUGCUGGCGCAGAGCUGCUGCCGGAGCUGCUCCCCGAGGCGGGCGGCAGGUUCGGGCGGGCGUCCCCAAGCUCGCUCCGCGGCCGCUGCGGCGUCCGCACGGCUCCGAUCGCCUCCGAUCGCCGCCCCGCGGCGCUGGAACGAGGAGGGGCGCAGAAACGUGCACGGGGCGAGCGGGGAACUCGUCCCGAGGCCGGCAGCGCUGCCGCCUGGCCGGGCCCCCCCGCUCCCUUCCGCCGGGCCCCGGCCCCGCGCCGCCGGGCUCUGA